This is a long non-coding RNA of Drosophila persimilis, 341 nucleotides long. RefSeq lists it as uncharacterized. The record is from RefSeq and is a predicted model, not a curated record. The transcript is spliced from 3 exons. NCBI's taxonomy places the organism in Eukaryota, Metazoa, Arthropoda, Insecta, Diptera, Drosophilidae.
UUCAAGCUGUUGUAUUAUCCCAACUGUUGAGCAUCGUCAUGAGGGCCCUCUUGAUUCUUUCCUUAAUCGCGUUGUCCACGUCAACUCUUAUUAAAAAGUGCUCAGAUCCAGCAUGUACCCUGGAGUACAGUCCUGUUUGUGGGACGGAUGAAAAGGGUGAGGAACAUGUCUUUGGUAACAGAUGUUUUUUCAAAGGUGCUAACUGCAUGCGUAAGGAAUCAGGGUUGCCACCUUUAAAACUUAAAUUUUUUGGUUGCUCUUCCGCAAAAAUAUUAUAAUGCUAUAAAUAUCUGUGGGGAUAUGGGAGUUGUAAAAUGAAAUAUAUGUAAAUACGACUCUGA